GACGAACGCUGGCGGCGCGCCUAACACAUGCAAGUCGAACGAGCGAGAGAGAGCUUGCUUUCUCAAGCGAGUGGCGAACGGGUGAGUAACGCGUGAGGAACCUGCCUCAAAGAGGGGGACAACAGUUGGAAACGACUGCUAAUACCGCAUAAGCCCACGGCUCGGCAUCGAGCAGAGGGAAAAGGAGCAAUCCGCUUUGAGAUGGCCUCGCGUCCGAUUAGCUAGUUGGUGAGGUAACGGCCCACCAAGGCGACGAUCGGUAGCCGGACUGAGAGGUUGAACGGCCACAUUGGGACUGAGACACGGCCCAGACUCCUACGGGAGGCAGCAGUGGGGAAUAUUGCACAAUGGGGGAAACCCUGAUGCAGCGACGCCGCGUGGAGGAAGAAGGUCUUCGGAUUGUAAACUCCUGUUGUUG
This 418-nucleotide ribosomal RNA is filed under the name uncultured bacterium. Its description in RNAcentral is "bacterial SSU rRNA". It matches the Rfam family "Bacterial small subunit ribosomal RNA", at positions 28 to 441 of the family's 1533-position model. The record is from RNAcentral.